This 495-nucleotide ribosomal RNA is filed under the name uncultured bacterium. RNAcentral's name for it is "partial 16S ribosomal RNA". It matches the Rfam family "Bacterial small subunit ribosomal RNA", at positions 28 to 507 of the family's 1533-position model. The record is from RNAcentral.
GACGAACGCUGGCGGCGUGCCUAAUACAUGCAAGUAGAACGCUGAGGGAGGAGCUUGCUUCUCUGGAUGAGUUGCGAACGGGUGAGUAACGCGUAGGUAACCUGCCUGGUAGCGGGGGAUAACUAUUGGAAACGAUAGCUAAUACCGCAUAAUAGUAGAUGUUGCAUGACAUUUGCUUAAAAGGUGCAAUUGCAUCACUACCAGAUGGACCUGCGUUGUAUUAGCUAGUUGGUGGGGUAACGGCUCACCAAGGCGACGAUACAUAGCCGACCUGAGAGGGGGAUCGGCCACACUGGGACUGAGACACGGCCCAGACUCCUACGGGAGGCAGCAGUAGGGAAUCUUCGGCAAUGGACGGAAGUCUGACCGAGCAACGCCGCGUGAGUGAAGAAGGUUUUCGGAUCGUAAAGCUCUGUUGUAAGAGAAGAACGAGUGUGAGAGUGGAAAGUUCACACUGUGACGGUAGCUUACCAGAAAGGGACGGCUAACUACGUG